This 108-nucleotide ribosomal RNA is filed under the name Pseudorhodoferax sp. Leaf274. The record is from RNAcentral. Lineage: Bacteria; Pseudomonadati; Pseudomonadota; Betaproteobacteria; Burkholderiales; Comamonadaceae.
CCUGAUGACCAUAGCAAGGUGGUCCCACUCCUUCCCAUCCCGAACAGGACAACGCCUUUGCGCCGAUGAUAGUGCGGGUUCCCGUGUGAAAGUAGGUCAUCGUCAGGC